RNAcentral lists this unclassified non-coding RNA (350 nucleotides) under soil metagenome. RNAcentral describes it as "partial contains 5.8S ribosomal RNA, internal transcribed spacer 2, and large subunit ribosomal RNA". The stretch from base 1 to 120 matches the Rfam family "5.8S ribosomal RNA", at positions 35 to 154 of the family's 154-position model. The record is from RNAcentral.
GAUGAAGAACGUAGCGAAAUGCGAUAAGUAAUGUGAAUUGCAGAAUUCAGUGAAUCAUCGAAUCUUUGAACGCAACUUGCGCUCUCUGGUAUUCCGGAGAGCAUGCCUGUUUGAGUGUCAUGAAAUCUCAACCAUUAGGGUUUCUUAAUGGCUUGGAUUUGGAGGCUGCCAUUCUAAAUGGCUCCUCUUAAAGGAGUUAGCAAGUUUUACUAUUGCUAUCUGGCGUAAUAAGUUUCGCUGGAAUGGUAUUGUGAAGCGUGCUUCUAAUCGUCUUCGGACAAUUACUUUGACUCUGGCCUCAAAUCAGGUAGGACUACCCGCUGAACUUUAGCAUAUCAAUAAGCGGAGGA